AUGAUUAUGAUAGGGUUUUGGGAAUUGAAUUAGUAUUAGCAUUAGUUGGUUCAUGAUUCCAAAUGCAUUUCUUCACAUACAGGCUCAGAGGUUCUAAGCAAACUACCAUCAUGCCAAAUUCCCAGUUCUAUCAUGUCAAAUUCCUAUUUCCUAGUUUAAUCCAUUAAUUGCAAGUAUUUGCAUCUAUCUAAGGUAUGAAUUUAGGUAGAAGAAGAUGCAGAUUGUUAUUAAUUGUUGUUCUCCUCUAAUUUGGAUUUAGGUACAAGAAGCUGCACAUUGUUAUUCAUUGUUGUUCUCC
Long non-coding RNA from Glycine soja, 298 nucleotides. RefSeq lists it as uncharacterized. NCBI's taxonomy places the organism in Eukaryota, Viridiplantae, Streptophyta, Magnoliopsida, Fabales, Fabaceae. The record is from RefSeq and is a predicted model, not a curated record. The transcript has 3 exons.